CUCGGGGAAUUAUCGACCCCUUGCGCUUUACGGCGCGCGAUUAUUCCAGGUAAUGGGGGAGACUUUCAGUACUGCGGGAGGAAUGACGGAGUAGGAGUGGCUAGAGGGAAGGACCGUCGCAGUUUAACCAUUUCCUAAUAGAGCCAGUCUGCGGUUAUAACAGAAUUUUACAACAGCGUGUUCCGAAACAUUCCGCGAAAAGGGCGCGGUCAGGUUUUCAAACAUUGUCGACGAUUUCCCCUUGUGCUCUCCCGAAAAAUCGGAUCCCGGUUUUCCUCCUGCCCCCCGGUUCGUAUUGGCCGGAACCAAAACCGGGAAGGCUUUUCCUUCUAUUUUUAGGCAAAAGAUGUGCGGUUGGUUCCCCUCCUAAGGGAAAUUCUUUUAAGCCGGGGGGCGGGCCCUUAUUGGAGGGGCAAUUCGGAGGUGGGGUUAAAAUGGUCUGGCCUUUUUCUGAGAAAA
This 459-nucleotide ribosomal RNA is filed under the name uncultured Turicibacter sp. Its description in RNAcentral is "partial 16S ribosomal RNA". Lineage: Bacteria; Bacillati; Bacillota; Erysipelotrichia; Erysipelotrichales; Turicibacteraceae. The record is from RNAcentral.